UGCAAGUCGAGCGAACAGACAAGGAGCUUGCUCCUUUGACGUUAGCGGCGGACGGGUGAGUAACACGUGGGUAACCUACCUAUAAGACUGGGAUAACUUCGGGAAACCGGAGCUAAUACCGGAUAAUAUUUCGAACCGCAUGGUUCGAUAGUGAAAGAUGGUUUUGCUAUCACUUAUAGAUGGACCCGCGCCGUAUUAGCUAGUUGGUAAGGUAACGGCUUACCAAGGCGACGAUACGUAGCCGACCUGAGAGGGUGAUCGGCCACACUGGAACUGAGACACGGUCCAGACUCCUACGGGAGGCAGCAGUAGGGAAUCUUCCGCAAUGGGCGAAAGCCUGACGGAGCAACGCCGCGUGAGUGAUGAAGGUCUUCGGAUCGUAAAACUCUGUUAUUAGGGAAGAACAUACGUGUAAGUAACUAUGCACGUCUUGACGGUACCUAAUCAGAAAGCCACGGCUAACUACGUGCCAGCAGCCGCGGUAAUACGUAGGUGGCAAGCGUUAUCCGGAAUUAUUGGGCGUAAAGCGCGCGUAGGCGGUUUUUUAAGUCUGAUGUGAAAGCCCACGGCUCAACCGUGGAGGGUCAUUGGAAACUGUAAAACUUGAGUGCAGAAGAGGAAAGUGGAAUUCCAUGUGUAGCGGUGAAAUGCGCAGAGAUAUGGAGACACCAGUGGCGACGCGACUUUCUGGUCUGUACUGACGCUGAUGUGCGAAGCGUGGGGAUCAAACAGGAUUAGAUACCCUGGUAGUCCAC
Molecule: ribosomal RNA, 755 nt
Filed under: Staphylococcus sp. NTRP09
Lineage: Bacteria; Bacillati; Bacillota; Bacilli; Caryophanales; Staphylococcaceae
Description: bacterial SSU rRNA
Rfam family: Bacterial small subunit ribosomal RNA
Source: RNAcentral